UACGUAGGGUGCGAGCGUUGUCCGGAAUUAUUGGGAGUAAAGAGGUCGUAGGCGGUUUGUUGAGUAGGUCGUGAAAACUUGGGGCUUAACCCCAAGCCUGCGGUCGAUACGGGCAGACUUGAGUUCGGCAGGGGAGACUGGAAUUCCUGGUGUAGCGGUGAAAUGCGCAGAUAUCAGGAGGAACACCGGUGGCGAAGGCGGGUCUCUGGGCCGAUACUGACGCUGAGGAGCGAAAGCGUGGGGAGCGAACAGG
Molecule: ribosomal RNA, 253 nt
Filed under: uncultured bacterium
Lineage: Bacteria
Description: partial 16S ribosomal RNA
Rfam family: Bacterial small subunit ribosomal RNA
Source: RNAcentral